This 19-nucleotide non-coding RNA is filed under the name Arabidopsis thaliana (thale cress). Lineage: Eukaryota; Viridiplantae; Streptophyta; Magnoliopsida; Brassicales; Brassicaceae. The record is from RNAcentral.
CACCUUGAUAUACGGUGGU